ACGUAGGGGGCAAGCGUUAUCCGGAAUUAUUGGGCGUAAAGAGUGCGUAGGUGGUCUUACAAGCCUUGGGUGAAAGGCUACAGCUUAACUGUAGUAAGCCUUGGGAACUGUAAGACUUGAGUGCAGGAGAGGAGAGUGGAAUUCCUAGUGUAGCGGUGAAAUGCGUAGAUAUUAGGAGGAACACCAGUGGCGAAGGCGACUCUCUGGACUGUAACUGACGCUGAGGCACGAAAGCGUGGGGAGCGAACAG
RNAcentral lists this ribosomal RNA (250 nucleotides) under uncultured bacterium. RNAcentral describes it as "partial 16S ribosomal RNA". It matches the Rfam family "Bacterial small subunit ribosomal RNA", at positions 525 to 775 of the family's 1533-position model. The record is from RNAcentral.